UCGAGAGCCUGUGCCAUAAGCCCUUUGGCCAUGCCCUAGCGGCGGUGCACAGCUCACACCACACCCUCGUUUACGCGUACCCUUUGUUAUUCCCUCGGCGGGGACGCCCGUCGAUGGGAAGCCCAUCAAACCUCUUGCAUCAGCAUCAAAACUUCUGAGCGCAACCUAAACAUUUA
Molecule: unclassified non-coding RNA, 176 nt
Filed under: uncultured Ascomycota
Lineage: Eukaryota; Fungi; Ascomycota
Description: sequence contains ITS1
Source: RNAcentral